This is a long non-coding RNA of Alnus glutinosa, 1319 nucleotides long. RefSeq lists it as uncharacterized. The record is from RefSeq and is a predicted model, not a curated record. NCBI's taxonomy places the organism in Eukaryota, Viridiplantae, Streptophyta, Magnoliopsida, Fagales, Betulaceae. The transcript has 2 exons.
GAAAGAGAAAAAUGUGUUUAAAUGGUGGUAUUCCAGGCGUUUUCCCAACUUGUAGUAAACUAGAAGAACAAUACUGAUGCUUGUCUUAUUAUUUUAAUUUUAUUUUAUCAUAAAUACGCACGAUAUAGAAGGUGCAUAUUUACCAUGUCUGAAACAUUAUCAAGUUGCUUCUAAAUACUAGAUAUUGUUGGCACCUCUAGACAAGAAAAAAGAUAAAAUCAGGCUGGUGGUUGUUCACAGCACCCUGGCUCUGUGUUUAUACGCAGCGAUUUUAAGAUUCAUAGUCAUAAAAAUAUGUGUGUUAGAUGGGUCUAGUGGUCAUGUGCAGUCGUGCAGAUUGCAGAGAAGCAGAGACAGUGGCCUGCAGAAAGUGUUAGCAGUAGCACGGAGUGAGCACAUUUCAUGUUUGGGCCCAACUUAUGAGGCUCCGCUGCCAAGAAGGCAUUAUUUUAUACGAGGUCCGUCCCACCUCUAUCGUCCCAAGGAGGUUCACUUUGAAUAGUUUACAUUAUCCUCUGUUCUUCCCACAUCUCUGUACCAGACGGCAGACGCUGUGGUUUAUUUAUUCUGAUCAGGAGGAAAUAAAGUGGCUGCUUUUCAUCCAAAAAAAAAAAAGAAAAACGAAGAAGAAAGCGGUGCAAAAAAUUGGUAGCAGCUGGAACUGGAAAUUAGACGGACGAUUGCAGAAGAAAGACAAGGAAUAAAACAGAGUAAAUAUGCUAACAUCUGCCUACUGAAAACAGAUAGAUAGAUGCAGCCAUAUCAUGCAAUCACCGGCGUGGUGGGCUCAUGUAAUUUUGUUGUUGGGUAAAGACUAAAGACCCUGGGCACAAAAACAAAGAGUCACGUGAACUUCAUGACACAGUCGCACUCCAUUUUUCACUUGUAGAAUCUGGAAUCCGGUCACUGAUGGGUCGAUAGUUUUGGGACCUCAAAAUUUCCUCCUCCUGGGUAGUAAGUACACCAAUGUCACUUCCCCCUCAUGUUCGAUCAUGUUCAUGUUAGUGGUACAUGCAUGCACCUUAUGGGGAAAGAGAGAAGCCACUAAAAUGAAUGGGGGGGGGGGGUCGUAUGUAUGGUGUCAAAUCCCUUACUCCACGUGGAGAAUGCUCAUUCAAUCGUCUUAGGCCACAUUUUUGAAUCCUAAUCCCGAUCCUAAAAUCUGGGACAAAUUAGGAGUAGCCUCUCAAAUCCAUCCCCUUGAAGAAGGACAGACAGACAGCCAAUCGCUGCUGAUGAUCUACUUGCUCCAAAUCUAAUCCCAUUCUGAGAUUCUUCCCUUUAUUGAAUUAUAUCCAAUGCUAUUUUAGUGGGUCCUA